This 120-nucleotide small nucleolar RNA is filed under the name Gopherus agassizii (Agassiz's desert tortoise). Its description in RNAcentral is "Small nucleolar RNA SNORA9 (ENSGAGG00000003497.1)". The record is from RNAcentral. Lineage: Eukaryota; Metazoa; Chordata; Testudines; Testudinidae.
GAGCAAGCCUUCCAGCAUGGCNCUGGACAUUCCUGUAGCGCUUGCGAGAGCAGCCCUGAGAUGGUUAGAGGCCUCACUCUACCCCUUUUCAGAGUGAGGUUGUUAAAAUUUCAGACUGGC